GGAUGUAGCCAAGCGGUCAAGGCAACGGGUUUUGGCUCCGUUAUUCGAAGGUUCAAUUCCUUCCAUC
RNAcentral lists this transfer RNA (67 nucleotides) under uncultured Desulfovibrio sp. It matches the Rfam family "tRNA". Rfam says of the family: Transfer RNA (tRNA) molecules are approximately 80 nucleotides in length. Their secondary structure includes four short double-helical elements and three loops (D, anti-codon, and T loops). The record is from RNAcentral. Lineage: Bacteria; Pseudomonadati; Thermodesulfobacteriota; Desulfovibrionia; Desulfovibrionales; Desulfovibrionaceae.